Heterocephalus glaber (naked mole-rat) is the source of this 1180-nucleotide non-coding RNA. Lineage: Eukaryota; Metazoa; Chordata; Mammalia; Rodentia; Bathyergidae. The record is from RefSeq and is a predicted model, not a curated record.
GGGGACCUCGAAAUCUGGGCACAACAGAUUCUUGAUGUUAUUACUUGGACCUCAUAUAAAUCAUUUUGAAUUUCUUGUUGGGCGCCAAGAUAUUCAUCAUUAUGUCCAAGAAUUGCUGAAUACCUGGGUGUUGGUUUCCUGUCAAGCUUUGGUCAGUGAGGAAGGAACAGUUGGCAGUGAUGUGUUGGCCAUCAGCACACUGACUCCACACUGGCAUGUUCAGAGAACCCUCUGCACUUCUGAACCUGGGUCUGUUCUCAACUGGCGUGGCCUCUCUCGUCAGAGAGCUCAGUGAGGAUUCUAUUUGGACCAUCGCUCUCCCCACUGUUCAGGUUUGGAAUCAACUUGUCAAAUUCUGUGGAAAAGUCUACUGUGAUUCUUACUGAAUUGUGCUGGGUGGAGCUGCUAUCUAUAAGAAAGAACCUUCUCCCAAACAUGGACAUGAUAUGCAACUCUCGGCACUUCCUGCUCCUCACCCCGCAGUGAUUUUUGACUUGCAGAUGUGAACUGUUAUUUGCAGGCUCUAUAACUGUUUGUGAUUCUGCCUCCCAGAUUUAACACAGAACUGGCGCCUUUUUCUAAUACUCACCUCUUUACUUAUCACUGCCAUGGGAUCACACAGUUGUGAGUAUUUUUUUUUUUUUUUUGACAAGCCAAAAAUCAAAUGGAACAAAAAAUGGCUGCAGAUGCAAUUUUCCUGGCUUCCGGGGAGCAGUGUAAGAAGGUGAAGACAUAAGCUUUGUGGUUGCUCAAAUCUAGCCCAUGCAAUCAGCAGCUGUGGGACCUCAGGCAGGUCUGAGGGCUUAUCCUCUGGGAGCUGCCCUGCAAAAUGGGCAUGGUGUUGCAUGGUCCAGAGGUUAGUGUGAGCUGCAUGAAAGGAAGGCACCCAGCCUGUGCCUAGAGGUGUUCAAUAUACAGGCUGAGCAUCCUUAAUCUGAAAAUAUGAAAAUUGAAAUGCUCCAAAAAUCCAACAUUUUUGAGCAUUGUUUCAGCACUCAAAAAGUUUUGAUUUCAUAAGCCAGACUCAGAAAGACAAGUAUCACAUCUUAGGUAAUAUAUGGAGUCUUAAAAAAAAAAGGAAGACUAUUAGGCAGGAGGAAAAGAAUAAAAGGGAGGUGGUGGGUGUAAGGAAGUGUAACGGGGGCAUGGAUAUGAUCAAUGUACGUUAUAUGUAUGUAUG